GUCUUUUAGAUUUGUAUUUAAAGUUUAACCUGCCCAUUGAAAAAUUUUAAAAGGCUGCAGUAUUUUGACUGUACAAAGGUAGCAUAAUCAUUAGUUUUUUAAUUGGAAACUUGUAUGAAUGGUUGAAUGAGAAAUUAACUUUUUUUAAAAAAUAAUUGAAUUUUACUUUUUAAUUAAAAGGUUAAAAUUUAUUUAAAAGACGAGAAGACCCUAUAGAGUUUUAUAAUUUAUAUAUUAUUUUUAAAAAGGGUGAAUAUUAAUUUUAUUUUUAGAUUAUUUUGUUGGGGUGAUAAUAAAAUUUAAUUAACUUUUAUUAAUUAUUUACAUUAAUAUAUGAUUUUUUGAUCCAAUAUUAUUGAUUAAAAAUUUAAAUUACCUUAGGGAUAACAGCGUAAUUUUUUUUUGAGUUCUUAUUAAUAAAAAAUUUUGCGACCUCGAUGUUGGAUUAAGAUUUAAUUUUAGGUGCAGCAGUUUAAAAUUUAAGUCUGUUCGACUUUUAAAUUCUU
RNAcentral lists this ribosomal RNA (506 nucleotides) under Camptochaeta tenuipalpalis. RNAcentral's name for it is "partial 16S ribosomal RNA". Lineage: Eukaryota; Metazoa; Arthropoda; Insecta; Diptera; Sciaridae. The record is from RNAcentral.